RNAcentral lists this long non-coding RNA (727 nucleotides) under Setaria italica (foxtail millet). RNAcentral describes it as "long non-coding RNA (SITA_LNC001039)". Lineage: Eukaryota; Viridiplantae; Streptophyta; Magnoliopsida; Poales; Poaceae. The record is from RNAcentral.
AGGCAUCAGUGGCCUUUUUUCAGGACGAUAGUUAGGUUGCAUCAUGACACUCAGUGUGUGUGAGAGAACACAUAGACGAGUUACUCUGCUAGGAAAGUGCAUACAAUGCAAGCCAGGAAAUGAUGAAGCAAAAUGCAGUUCAAGGGCAUUUCAGGAUUAUUGAGCGGGAUCAGGAACCCACAAUGCCCCAUAACUUAAUCUUCCUCUGCUCUGACCAGUCUUGUUGGCUUCGGAGUUCCAUCGAAGCUGGACUGUGCGUUAUACAAUGUUGGAAGAACCCAGCAUGCCGGUGUCAGCAGGUCACAGCGCCUCGAUCGACAGGAAUAGUAGCCGUGGCCAGGGAUGCCAACGUCUAGGGUUUUAGCAGAAAUGAGAGGUAACCCUCUCUUGAUACCAUGAAAGCGUUUCUACAGGAUGCUAAGCAACACAAUGGAUUCAUGCAUGAAUAUUCCUUGGGCUUCAAUGAGCAUCGAGGCAUGACUUAUCCUUGAGGUCAGGUUUUCUUAACUCAGCAUCGGUGGCCUCAACAGUUAAAUCGACGUUUUAUCCAUCUCUUUCCUAUUGAAGAAUCGUUUUAUCCUGCAUUGUGGCUGCUCUAAAAGACCGGGGAGAAGAGGACCCUACACUACUAGUGUUAUGACAGGUUACUACCCAAGAAUGUCAUGAAUAUUAAUUAUCCACGACAUGAAGACCAUGGUUUCCCUUCUGGGGAAUAAAUACAGGUUUC